UACGGGGGGGGCAAGCGUUGUUCGGAAUUACUGGGCGUAAAGGGCUCGUAGGCGGCCAACUAAGUCAUACGUGAAAUCCCUCGGCUUAACCGGGGAACUGCGUCUGAUACUGGAUGGCUUGAGAUUGGGAGAGGGAUGCGGAAUUCCAGGUGUAGCGGUGAAAUGCGUAGAUAUCUGGAGGAACACCGGUGGCGAAGGCGGCAUCCUGGACCAACACUGACGCUGAGGUGCGAAAGCGUGGGGAGCAAACAGG
This 253-nucleotide ribosomal RNA is filed under the name uncultured bacterium. RNAcentral describes it as "partial 16S ribosomal RNA". It matches the Rfam family "Bacterial small subunit ribosomal RNA", at positions 524 to 776 of the family's 1533-position model. The record is from RNAcentral.